RNAcentral lists this ribosomal RNA (661 nucleotides) under uncultured bacterium. RNAcentral describes it as "bacterial SSU rRNA". It matches the Rfam family "Bacterial small subunit ribosomal RNA", at positions 51 to 692 of the family's 1533-position model. The record is from RNAcentral.
ACACAUGCAGUCGAGCGGCAGCGACAACAUUGAACCUUCGGGGGAUUUGUUGGGCGGCGAGCGGCGGACGGGUGAGUAAUGCCUGGGAAAUUGCCCUGAUGUGGGGGAUAACCAUUGGAAACGAUGGCUAAUACCGCAUGAUAGCUUCGGCUCAAAGAGGGGGACCUUCGGGCCUCUCGCGUCAGGAUAUGCCCAGGUGGGAUUAGCUAGUUGGUGAGGUAAGGGCUCACCAAGACGACGAUCCCUAGCUGGUCUGAGAGGAUGAUCAGCCACACUGGAACCGAGACACGGUCCAGACUCCUACGGGAGGCAGCAGUGGGGAAUAUUGCACAAUGGGCGCAAGCCUGAUGCAGCCAUGCCGCGUGUAUGAAGAAGGCCUUCGGGUUGUAAAGUACUUUCAGCAGUGAGGAAGAAGGUAUCGUUAAUAGCGGUAUCUUUUGACGUUAGCUGCAGAAGAAGCACCGGCUAACUCCGUGCCAGCAGCCGCGGUAAUACGGAGGGUGCGAGCGUUAAUCGGAAUUACUGGGCGUAAAGCGCAUGCAGGUGGUUUGUUAAGUCAGAUGUGAAAGCCCGGGGCUCAACCUCGGAAUUGCAUUUGAAACUGGCAGGCUAGAGUACUGUAGAGGGGGGUAGAAUUUCAUGUGUAGCGGUGAAAUGCGUA